RNAcentral lists this long non-coding RNA (290 nucleotides) under Mytilus galloprovincialis (Mediterranean mussel). The record is from RNAcentral. Lineage: Eukaryota; Metazoa; Mollusca; Bivalvia; Mytilida; Mytilidae.
UUAAGGAGGUUCGCUACUGAAAUUCAAAAUAACAAGAAAGUUUUCCUGUUGUGUUUUUUUAUAACUCCUUUCAUAUGGGAGUGGAAAAAUGAAAAAAAAAAUAUAGGUCAAUGCGCUAUAUUUUUCGUAAGGAUGGCAUUUAUGGUCACUCAUAAUGUCAGUAUUGAAAAAUCCGGUAUUUUCAAAGAAUUGGAACAUCUGCAUUGAAGUUUCAAUUAUAACAACAAUUCAUACAAAUGUAAAUAUAUUUUAUUCUAAUAUCAAUAAAAAUAUACCUUUAUUUCAAUUUC